CGUUGGGAGCGCUCCCAUAUGGUCGACCUGCAGGCGGCCGCGAAUUCACUAGUGAUUAGAGUUUGAUCAUGGCUCAAAAUGAACGCUGGCGGCAUGCCUAACACAUGCAAGUCGAACGAAGGCUUCGGCCUUAGUGGCGCACGGGUGCGUAACGCGUGGGAAUCUGCCCUCAGGUUCGGAAUAACAGCGAGAAAUUGCUGCUAGUACCGGAUGAUAUCGCGAGAUCAAAGAUUUAUCGCCUGAGGAUGAGCCCGCGUAGGAUUAGCUAGUUGGUGUGGUAAAGGCGCACCAAGGCGACGAUCCUUAGCUGGUCUGAGAGGAUGAUCAGCCACACUGGGACUGAGACACGGCCCAGACUCCUACGGGAGGCAGCAGUGGGGAAUAUUGGACAAUGGGCGAAAGCCUGAUCCAGCCAUGCCGCGUGUGUGAAGAAGGUCUUCGGAUUGUAAAGCACUUUAAGUUGGGAGGAAGGGCAUUAACCUAAUACGUUAGUGUUUUGACGUUACCGACAGAAUAAGCCCCGGCUAACUCUGUGCCAGCAGCCGCGGUAAUACGAAUCGAAUUCUCGC
This 569-nucleotide ribosomal RNA is filed under the name uncultured Alphaproteobacteria bacterium. RNAcentral describes it as "bacterial SSU rRNA". It matches the Rfam family "Bacterial small subunit ribosomal RNA", at positions 1 to 539 of the family's 1533-position model. The record is from RNAcentral. Lineage: Bacteria; Pseudomonadati; Pseudomonadota; Alphaproteobacteria.